RNAcentral lists this ribosomal RNA (611 nucleotides) under Uncinaria stenocephala. Its description in RNAcentral is "SSU rRNA". It matches the Rfam family "Eukaryotic small subunit ribosomal RNA", at positions 1013 to 1653 of the family's 1831-position model. Lineage: Eukaryota; Metazoa; Nematoda; Chromadorea; Rhabditida; Ancylostomatidae. The record is from RNAcentral.
UACCGCCCUAGUUCUGACCGUAAACUAUGCCAUCUAGCGAUCCGAUGGGGUAUUGUUGCCUUGUCGAGGAGCUUCCCGGAAACGAAAGUCUUUCGGUUCCUGGGGUAGUAUGGUUGCAAAGCUGAAACUUAAAGAAAUUGACGGAAUGGCACCACCAGGAGUGGAGCCUGCGGCUUAAUUUGACUCAACACGGGAAAACUCACCCGGCCCGGACACCGUAAGGAUUGACAGAUUGAAAGCUCUUUCUCGAUUUGGUGGUUGGUGGUGCAUGGCCGUUCUUAGUUGGUGGAGCGAUUUGUCUGGUUUAUUCCGAUAACGAGCGAGACUCUAGCCUGCUAAAUAGUGGCUGGAUUUUCACGUCCAGUCUACUUCUUAGAGGGAUAAGCGGUGUUUAGCCGCACGAGAUUGAGCGAUAACAGGUCUGUGAUGCCCUUAGAUGUCCGGGGCUGCACGCGCGCUACAAUGGAAGAAUCAGCUGGCCUAUCCAUUGCCGAAAGGCAUUGGUAAACCGUUGAAACUCUUCCGUGACCGGGAUAGGGAAUUGUAAUUAUUUCCCUUGAACGAGGAAUUCCUAGUAAGUGUGAGUCAUCAGCUCACGCUGAUUACGUCCC